AAUGUGCAUUUAAUACGGACUUCUUAAGUUCUUACGCCGAAACUGAACAACAAACAACCCGGCAUCGAGAAAUGUGGAUUUGUGUGACGUCAUUCCAGUUAAAACCUCAUAACGUCAAUAACGUUUACAUUAUUACGUCAUAAAAAAAACAACGCGCCUAGCAACGUCACGGCAUUAUAAGCCAACCCAUUACAUCAUCAACACACGGAAUGUAAAAUGGCAAAACUGAAAAAUAAAUUAAAAAAAAACAACACUUUCGAGUGCGAGGAAACUGGUCCUCAAGAUGUUCGUCUGCAUGUGCUGCCCAUCCUUAGUCACGAAAAUGGAGGUCGACGCAAACGAAUAUAACGAUACCGAUGAUCUUGUGGUGACUCGCGUUUACAGGGCCGCCAGCUUCACUAACGCCGUCACUGCCGGCAGGAUGCGCGUACAGGGCUCCAGAAGCGCGACCCGGGCAGAGUCGCAAACUGCCGCCGGAACUAGCAGACGCCAGACGAACCUGCACGAGAGAACGCGUCGACCGGCCUCACCGGAAACGUCGGCAAUAUCAAGGGAGCGAAUCUCGUCAUGGAAUGAUGACUCCGAGAAUUAAGCUAUUUCACAGAGCCCGGAAGAAAGCGACAACGGAAGCGAGGUGGGCGACUACAGAGAUGCCGGCCUUGACUUGGCAACAUUGCAGGCGUAUUUGUAUUGGACUUAAUUUGUUGUAUGUAUGUUUUGUUUGUAUGUUAUAAAGAAAUGUGUUUAUUUUGGUAA
Dreissena polymorpha is the source of this 756-nucleotide long non-coding RNA. RefSeq lists it as uncharacterized. The transcript has 2 exons. NCBI's taxonomy places the organism in Eukaryota, Metazoa, Mollusca, Bivalvia, Myida, Dreissenidae. The record is from RefSeq and is a predicted model, not a curated record.